Molecule: ribosomal RNA, 253 nt
Filed under: Fusicatenibacter saccharivorans
Lineage: Bacteria; Bacillati; Bacillota; Clostridia; Lachnospirales; Lachnospiraceae
Description: partial 16S ribosomal RNA
Rfam family: Bacterial small subunit ribosomal RNA
Source: RNAcentral
UACGUAGGGGGCAAGCGCUAUCCGGAUUUACUGGGUGUAAAGGGAGCGUAGACGGCAAGGCAAGUCUGAUGUGAAAACCCAGGGCUUAACCCUGGGACUGCAUUGGAAACUGUCUGGCUCGAGUGCCGGAGAGGUAAGCGGAAUUCCUAGUGUAGCGGUGAAAUGCGUAGAUAUUAGGAAGAACACCAGUGGCGAAGGCGGCUUACUGGACGGUAACUGACGUUGAGGCUCGAAAGCGUGGGGAGCAAACAGG